GAUGAACGCUGGCGGCGUGCCUAAUACAUGCAAGUCGAGCGAAUGGAUUAAGAGCUUGCUCUUAUGAAGUUAGCGGCGGACGGGUGAGUAACACGUGGGUAACCUGCCCAUAAGACUGGGAUAACUCCGGGAAACCGGGGCUAAUACCGGAUAAUAUUUUGAACUGCAUGGUUCAAAAUUGAAAGGCGGCUUCGGCUGUCACUUAUGGAUGGAACCGCGUCGCAUUAGCUAGUUGGUGAGGUAACGGGUCACCAAGGCAACGAUGCGUAGCCGACCUGAGAGGGUGAUCGGCCACACUGGGACUGAGACACGGCCCAGACUCCUACGGGAGGCAGCAGUAGGGAAUCUUCCGCAAUGGACGAAAGUCUGACGGAGCAACGCCGCGUGAGUGAUGAAGGCUUUCGGGUCGUAAAACUCUGUUGUUAGGGAAGAACAAGUGCUAGUUGAAUAAGCUGGCACCUUGACGGUACCUAGCCAGAAAGCCACGGCUAACUACGUGCCAGCCGCCGCGGUAA
RNAcentral lists this ribosomal RNA (515 nucleotides) under uncultured bacterium. RNAcentral's name for it is "partial 16S ribosomal RNA". It matches the Rfam family "Bacterial small subunit ribosomal RNA", at positions 28 to 523 of the family's 1533-position model. The record is from RNAcentral.